AAUCUCUCACAGAACACAAAAACAGAGUUAGAGACUUCAUACGAACCAAACACAAACAGAGUUAAUCCAAUUCUACAAGACCCGAAAGAUUCAUAUACAGUAAUAACAAGUUAACAACUUACCUCGAUGAAUACUCCGAUCAGUCACAAAACCAUGCAAAACCCUAAAGAGAUGAUAACAACUUACCUCGACGAAUACUUCGAUCAAUCGCAAAUCGAUGUAAAACCCUAAAAGAGAUAUGAGAAGAUUACUAAGGUAAAAAUCAG
Molecule: long non-coding RNA, 266 nt
Filed under: Capsella grandiflora
Lineage: Eukaryota; Viridiplantae; Streptophyta; Magnoliopsida; Brassicales; Brassicaceae
Description: long non-coding RNA (CGRA_LNC001459)
Source: RNAcentral